This 465-nucleotide ribosomal RNA is filed under the name Vreelandella stevensii. RNAcentral's name for it is "partial 16S ribosomal RNA". It matches the Rfam family "Bacterial small subunit ribosomal RNA", at positions 338 to 795 of the family's 1533-position model. The record is from RNAcentral. Lineage: Bacteria; Pseudomonadati; Pseudomonadota; Gammaproteobacteria; Oceanospirillales; Halomonadaceae.
CCUACGGGUGGCUGCAGUGGGGAAUAUUGGACAAUGGGCGAAAGCCUGAUCCAGCCAUGCCGCGUGUGUGAAGAAGGCCUUCGGGUUGUAAAGCACUUUCAGUGGGGAAGAAAGCCUUGGGGCUAAUACCCUCGAGGAAGGACAUCACCCACAGAAGAAGCACCGGCUAACUCCGUGCCAGCAGCCGCGGUAAUACGGAGGGUGCGAGCGUUAAUCGGAAUUACUGGGCGUAAAGCGCGCGUAGGCGGUCUGAUAAGCCGGUUGUGAAAGCCCCGGGCUCAACCUGGGAACGGCAUCCGGAACUGUCAGGCUAGAGUGCAGGAGAGGAAGGUAGAAUUACCGGUGUAGCGGUGAAAUGCGUAGAGAUCGGGAGGAAUACCAGUGGCGAAGGCGGCCUUCUGGACUGACACUGACGCUGAGGUGCGAAAGCGUGGGUAGCAAACAGGAUUAGAUACCCGAGUAGUC